This 425-nucleotide ribosomal RNA is filed under the name uncultured bacterium. RNAcentral describes it as "partial 16S ribosomal RNA". It matches the Rfam family "Bacterial small subunit ribosomal RNA", at positions 354 to 796 of the family's 1533-position model. The record is from RNAcentral.
GUAGGGAAUAUUGGACAAUGGGGGCAACCCUGAUCCAGCAAUGCCGCGUGAGUGAUGAAGGCCUUAGGGUUGUAAAGCUCUUUUACCCGGGAUGAUAAUGACAGUACCGGGAGAAUAAGCUCCGGCUAACUCCGUGCCAGCAGCCGCGGUAAUACGGAGGGAGCUAGCGUUGUUCGGAAUUACUGGGCGUAAAGCGCGCGUAGGCGGCUGUUUAAGUCAGAGGUGAAAGCCUGGAGCUCAACUCCAGAACUGCCUUUGAGACUGGACAGCUAGAAUCCUGGAGAGGUGAGUGGAAUUCCGAGUGUAGAGGUGAAAUUCGUAGAUAUUCGGAAGAACACCAGUGGCGAAGGCGGCUCACUGGACAGGUAUUGACGCUGAGGUGCGAAAGCGUGGGGAGCAAACAGGAUUAGAUACCCUAGUAGUCC